RNAcentral lists this ribosomal RNA (253 nucleotides) under uncultured bacterium. RNAcentral describes it as "partial 16S ribosomal RNA". It matches the Rfam family "Bacterial small subunit ribosomal RNA", at positions 524 to 776 of the family's 1533-position model. The record is from RNAcentral.
UACGUAGGGUGCGAGCGUUAAUCGGAAUUACUGGGCGUAAAGUGUGCGCAGGCGGCCGAGCAAGUCGAGUGUGAAAGCCCCGGGCUUAACUUGGGAAUUGCGCUCGAAACUACUUGGCUGGAGUGUGGCAGAGGAAGGUGGAACUCCACGUGUAGCGGUGAAAUGCGUAGAGAUGUGGAGGAACACCGAUGGCGAAGGCAGCCUUCUGGGCCAGCACUGACGCUCAUGCACGAAAGCGUGGGGAGCAAACAGG